This 219-nucleotide ribosomal RNA is filed under the name Chromeurytoma sp. D1522. RNAcentral describes it as "partial 28S ribosomal RNA". It matches the Rfam family "Eukaryotic large subunit ribosomal RNA", at positions 967 to 1163 of the family's 3401-position model. The record is from RNAcentral. Lineage: Eukaryota; Metazoa; Arthropoda; Insecta; Hymenoptera; Megastigmidae.
UUUCCCUCAGGAUAGCUGGCACUCGCUUGAGCGAGUCUCAUCUGGUAAAGCGAAUGAUUAGAGGCCUUGGGGCCGAAACGACCUCAACCUAUUCUCAAACUUUAAAUGGGUGAGAUCUCUGGCUUGCUCGAACGUUGAAGCCACGAGAUGAAAUUCAUUUUCGAAUGGAUCAGAGUGCCAAGUGGGCCAAUUUUGGUAAGCAGAACUGGCGCUGUGGGA